CCUACGGGCGGCAGCAGUGAGGAAUAUUGGUCAAUGGUCGGGAGACUGAACCAGCCAAGCCGCGUGAGGGAUGAAGGUACAGAGUAUCGUAAACCUCUUUUGUCAGGGAACAAAGGCGGGGACGUGUCCCCGGAUGAGUGUACCUGAAGAAAAAGCAUCGGCUAACUCCGUGCCAGCAGCCGCGGUAAUACGGAGGAUGCGAGCGUUAUCCGGAUUUAUUGGGUUUAAAGGGUGCACAGGCGGUCUGUUAAGUCCGCGGUAAAAGCCCGGGGCUCAACCCCGGCCCGCCGUUGAAACUGGCAGUCUCGAGUUGGAGAGAAGUAUGCGGAAUGCGCGGUGUAGCGGUGAAAUGCAUAGAUAUCGCGCAGAACUCCGAUUGCGAAGGCAGCAUGCCGGCUCCACACUGACGCUGAGGCACGAAAGCGUGGGUAUCGAACAGGAUUAGAUACCCCAGUAGUC
This 459-nucleotide ribosomal RNA is filed under the name uncultured bacterium. Its description in RNAcentral is "partial 16S ribosomal RNA". It matches the Rfam family "Bacterial small subunit ribosomal RNA", at positions 338 to 795 of the family's 1533-position model. The record is from RNAcentral.